Molecule: non-coding RNA, 761 nt
Filed under: Caenorhabditis japonica
Lineage: Eukaryota; Metazoa; Nematoda; Chromadorea; Rhabditida; Rhabditidae
Description: Eukaryotic small subunit ribosomal RNA
Rfam family: Eukaryotic small subunit ribosomal RNA
Source: Rfam by way of RNAcentral
UACCUGAUUGAUUCUGUCAGCGCGAUAUGCUCAAGUAAAAGAUUAAGCCAUGCAUGCUUUGAUUCAUAAAUGAAAUUGCGUACGGCUCAUUAGAGCAGAUAUCACCUUUCUCGGAAUCCUGAAAAGGAUAACUGCGGAAAUUCUGGAGCUAAUACAUGCGGCUAUACUCCAACGCAAGGCGGGGUGCAAUUAUUAGAACAGACCAAACGUUUUCGGACGUUGUUUGUUGACUCUGAAUACCGUCGUUUACUGUCAGUUUCGACUGACUCUAUCCGAGAAGGGUGUCUGCCCUUUCAACUAGAUGGUAAUCUAUUGGACUACCAUGGUUGUUACGGGUAACGGAGAAUUAGGGUUCGACUCCGGAGAGGGAGCCUUAGAAACGGCUACCACGUCCAAGGAAGGCAGCAGGCGCGAAACUUAUCCACUGUUGAGUAUGAGAUAGUGACUAAAAAUAUAAAGACUCAUCCUUUUGGAUGAGUUAUUUCAAUGAGUUGAAUAUAAAUUAUUCUUCGAGUAGCAAGGAGAGGGCAAGUCUGGUGCCAGCAGCCGCGGUAAUUCCAGCUCUCCUAGUGUAUCUCGUUAUUGCUGCGGUUAAAAAGCUCGUAGUUGGAUCUAGGUUACGUGCCGCAGUUCGCAAUUUGCGUUAACUGUGGUCGUGACUUCUAAUUUGCUGGUUUGAGGUUGGGUUCGCCCUUCAACUGCCAGCAGGUUUACCUUGAAUAAAUCAGAGUGCUCAAUACAGGCGCUUGCUUGAAUAGCUC